GCUUCUUGGGUGGUGGUGGUGACUUGUAAACUGGAGUUGGUGGUGAUGGUGAUUUGUAGACUGAGUGUGUAGAGAGUAGUAUGACUCCUUAGGUGGUGGUGGUGAAUUGUAAAUGGGAGUUGGUGGUGGCAGAGACUUAUAAACUGGUGCGGGAUUGAUAUAGCUCCUUGGGUGUGGAGGCGAUAUGUAGACUAGGGUUGGUGGAGGUGGUGACUUGUUGACUGGGUGUGUGGAGGGUAGUAAGGCUCCUUAGUAGUGGUGGCGACUUGUAAACUGUAGUCGGUAGAGGCGGUGACUUGUAGAUUGGGGUAUGAGGAGGGUAGUAUGGCUCCUUAAGUGGUUGUGGUGACUUGUAAACUGGAGUCGGCGAAGGUGGCGACUUAUAGACUGGGUGUUUGGAGGGUAGUAAGGCUCUUUGGGUGGGGGUGGCAACGUAUAAACUUGAGUUAGUGGAAGUGGUGAUUUGUAGACUGGGUGUGUGGGGGAUAGUAUGGCUCCUUAGGUAGUAGUGGUGAUUGGUAAAUAGGAGCCGGUGGAAAUGGCGACUUAUAGACUGGGUGUGUGGAGGGUAGUAAGGCUCUUUUGGUGGGGGUGACGACUUGUAAACUGGAGUUGAUGGAGGUGGCAAUUUGUAGACUGGGGUGUGUGGAGGAUAGUAUGGCUCCUUGGGUGGUGAUGGUGGUGACUAGUAAAGCGGAGUUGAAGGUGAUGGUGAUUUAUAAAGUGGUGCAGGAUGAUAAGGUGUUGGUGAAGGAUGGUAUGGCUCUUUUGGUGAUGGUGGAGAUAAAUAUUGAUAAUUUGCUGAGCUUUGGGAAGCCAAGCAAAGUGACACAAAAACCACUAAAAGAGUGGAAAAUAGAGAGGCCAUUUCUCCCAAAAAGAAACAAAGGAGAGAAGUUGUUGUCCCUUUAAGCUGCACUCAAAGCCCUUUGUAUAGCUUUCAUUUAGAAGGUAUAAGGCUAAAGUUAUGUAUUUUUAAUUAGUUUUGUCAUGUUGUCGGUUCAAUUUGACCUUUGUUGGUAUACUUUUUUUUUUUUGUUGGAUAGAAGGUGCAAGCUAAGCAAAGAAAUUAACUACUAUGGCAGCUAUACUAUUUAUGAUGCAAUAAUUCAAAAAAAAAUACGUGGAUCCCACAACUUCCCACAAGAUUUUAGUUAUAGGAAUCUGAGCACUUUUUUUUUACACUUAGGGUGUGUAUGGUACGAUGGAAAAUAUUUUCUGAAAAAUGUUGGUUGUAGUAAAAAAUAUUUUCUAAGAUAAUUCAUUUUUUCCUAUUUGAGGGAAAAUGACUUCCCUCAUGGACCAAGGGAAGUUAUUUUUCGGAAAAUGAUAAAUGUGACUUAUGCCCCCAUCCUCACCCCUCUUCCCACCCCAACAACACUCAUAUUCACAUAACUCAAAAAAUUCACAUUUUUAAAAAAUUUAUUUUACUCAAAAUAUUUUUCACUGUGCUUUGCUUCAAUUUUUCACUGCUUGAAAUAAAAAAUAGUGAAGCCCGACUUUUUUUCAUUUCCAAUGUUCGUUGAAUGUAUUGUUAUUUUCAUAUGCAUAGAGGAAGACUUACCUAUGUUACUUUUGCUAAUUGCAUAUUUUAUUUUGUCAUCGAUGUUACUUCUUUCACGAGGUUGAAUAAGCUUAUCGUCCCGUUAUAUUUCUAUUGAUUGUAGUAUCUUGAGAUUGUCCUGAAAAAAUGUUGAAAAGUGUCUCCUAUAUUUGCUAAUUAAUAGUUGCUUAAAUUUAGUGAUUGUAAUAUUUUAGUAUUCGAUAUUGAUAUUAUUUAUUAUGCUUAAAUUAGUUCUUACAAAUUGUUGAGUUGCUAGAUGCACUGAUAUACUAGUUAACAGUUAGUAGUAUUUUCUAAAAAAAAAAAUUUCACUCACCAAUCAAACACUAGAAAAUAUUUUUCUAAAAAAUAUUUUCUACUCACCAACCAAACACCAUAAAAUAUUUUUCGAAAAUAUUUUUCACUCACCAACCAAACAUGAGAAAAUAAAUAGAAAACCAACUUAUUUUCCAAGAAAACAUUUUUCAUGAAAAAUAUUUUCCAUCGUACCAAACACACCCUUAGUAUUUGAAGAAUUCAAUUCUUGUGGAUUCUGACAGCUUAACUAACCUUCACUUAAGUGCUGAGAAAUUUAAAACAAUAUGUAUACAGUAUCAUAUAUUCUUUAAAAGAAAUGAUAUGUCAUUGUUAAAAGAGUUUAAUCUAGAGAAAACUGUGCAUGUGACUCGCUUUCAUUACCAACUAAAUCAAUUAUGUUCUUUCCUUUUGUGUAGUAGAGCUAAAAGAAACAUCAACCGAUUAUUUUGUAGCUCAAUGUUGAAAACUUAUGUGGUUCAAUAUGAUAUCUCUGAAAAUUUUACAGCUUGUUUGAUAGCUGCUGCCUAAUAAUGUAUUGUAUCGUGUUGCUAGUUUAAAUAUAAUGUGUAUUUUGAUUGUUUCUUAAAUUUUACUGUAUCAUUAAAUCUAUAACUAGAUAGCAAUAAAAAGUCUCAUUUGGUGUAACGACCUAUUUGAUGUGAUCGCGUUGUUACCUUUUUUCCCCUUUUUAUUUAUUAUUUAAUUAUCUUAAUGCUCCUUUAUCCUAUAUUUUUAUAGUAACUCUACCUCACAUUUUUCUAUUUUCCUUCUAGGCUUAUCCUUGAACUGUUAUAUGAAGGAUGCAAUGUAAUGACGAAAAAGGUAUAAUAAAUCCAAAUAUCGUAACAUUCACUAAAAUAAUAAAGUACAUACAAUACAACAUGAUACUUUAUGAAACAAUAUCAUUCCAAGUUAAGGACUUGAUUAGAAUGUGCAUGUUAAGUGUCUGAUGGGUUACUUAAGUAUAAAGUUCAAGUCCAUAUAAAAAGAUAAACCCUAAUUAUAAUGCCUUCAUCAUGGCUGGUCGACAGUAGUCUACUACUGAAUUUCCUCCUUUGAACCCAAAUUCUAUUGUGAAUAUCCAAACCCUACCGUUGGAUAAAUCUUUUGUUGAAUCAAUCAGUACAACAAAGUUGGACACCGUCUCUCGCAAAGAGGUGGUCAUGGUGGAAGGAAUCCCGAAUGUCACACUGAAAAAAGUGGAUACAGUGAAUAAAAUGGAGAAUUUGCAAUUUGUUGUCAUAGGUAAAUUCACUUAAGAAUGGACGGGUAUAGAAGAAUUAAGGAAUAUUAUCCCACAGCAAUGCAACAUUAAUGGUGAUUGUCAAAUUGGAGUAUUCAGAAAUAAACAUAUUUUCAUUCGUUAGACACAGGAGUCGGAUUUUAUUAAUAUCAUCAUCUCAAAGGGAGCUUUUUCCUUGCACUGUAAGGAUGGGUUCUCUUAUUUGAUGCGAACACUCUCACACUUAUCUAUGAUCCCCUUUUCAAAGAAACUUUAGAGACUACAAAGACUUUCGCAUGGAUUUCUUUCCCAAAUCUAUUGCCUACCUAUUAUGUCAAGGAAUGUUUGUUUUCUUUAGCUGCAACAGUGGGAAAGCCUGUCCAACUUGAUCUAGCCACCAUUAAUAGGACUAGACCAAGUUGUGCAAGGAUUAAGGUCUUGGUUGAUCUAAAAGCUGAUUUCUCUAAAUCAGUCCGGAUGGAUAUUGAAAAUGAAGAGUCAGGUAAAUGCAGGACAAUAGUGAAGCGGAUUAAAUUCGACCAUAUUCCUAAGUAUUGUCAUGAAUGCAAUAUGCAAGUUCAUGCUAAGAAUCAAUGUAGAAACUUAGGCACCCCAGAGGAUGCAACAAUGGCAGUAACAGUGGAUAAUAAGGAAUAAAAGAGGCCAGUACAACAUCUUCCUAAAUUCACAAUGCCUUUUGUACACAAAUUUCAAAACGGAAAAGCAUGAGUUCUUUCGAGUGGGAUUGUAGUUGGAGAUCCUACUAACUGGAUGGUUAUUAAAAAUGAUAAGAGGAUAGUUAAUACUUCCCAACAGCCUCUUUUAAUGAUAUAGUUAAUACUUCCCAACAGCCUCUUUCAAUGACAAAUAACCAAUUUGCUGCUCUAGCUACCGACGACAAAGAACCUGCUGAAUUAAACAUUUCGACAAAGGAGAGUUCAAACCUUAAGGCAUGUACGGAUGUGUUCCAAAUAAUAAGGAAAAUGAAAAAGUUAAUCUGUGGUCCAAUAAAGAAUCUGCUAAAGAGUGGGUAUCAAGGGAUUUUGGCAAGCUAGGUGAAGUUCCCAAUUCUGUAAUACCUGUACAGCAACAAGGCAGUCAGCAACUAAGUAAUCAACAACAAAGGCAAGAUAGAGAUAAUAAUGCUAAAGAGAAUAAUAAAGAUGGUAAUGGGAUGGAGAAUGAUAUGCAGGUUAAAUCUUUAAUAAAUCAGGAGCAUAAUAUUGAUGAUGGUCAGCAACAAUGCCUCAUAGUCAAAAAGGACAAUCUGCAAUCUAUAGAAGAUGUGCAACCAGAUACCAAGCAAUAGUCAAUGCAGAUUAAUCAAGAUUUUUACAGUGGAAGCUAUGAUAAUGGAGAUAGGUCAGUUGAGGAAAGUGUGGGGAUAACAGUUGUGAUGCAAGGGGAACAAAAUGUGUGUUUAGAAAUAAUGGAGAUUCCAAAACCAGUGCAGAUAGAUGAAUCAUUUAUCGUUACCAAGAGUUCUCCCAACAAAGUAAUACAUGACAUUGUCUCUCAUAGUUUAGGGUACAUUAAAUGCAGUAAUCAAACUCACAUGGCCAAAGGAGUUAAAGAAGUAGAUGUAGAAGAUGAUUCGAAGGAUCAUGCUCCAUCGGAAGCUGAUUUAUCACCAAGACUGAUGAAAAUCUCUAAAAAAGGAUAAAAAAGAAUGUGGAUGGGAGAAAACUCACAACCUACCAGAGUUCAUCCUAAGCGAUCCAAAUCUGCCCUAAAUUAUCAAUGAAAGCACUUAUUUGGAACAUUAGGUCUGUGAAGACACAACAAGAUUUCAAAGACUUCAGAUGCUUAAUAAUUAUCAUAAGUUCACCGGUUUCAGUUUGUUAGAGCCUUUUCAGAAUGUUAGAUAUAAGAGAAGAUUGAAAAUGCAUAGGGCUAUGUCAAACUGCAAUAGCAAGAUUUGGUUUUUCUCCUCUCAAGAUGUGAUAACAACUGUUAUUAAAGACACUGAUCAUCAGCUACAGUUCACUUGCAGGAGUAGGCUCAGAGCUUAGAUUUAUUACUCUUGUUUAUGCAAAGUGUUCUAAAGAGGAGAGAUUAAUCUUAUGGAAGGAUAUUUAUCAAGUUGCUUCUGGAAUUUCAAAACCUUGGAUGCUAGGAGGAGAUUUAAUGUUGUUUUGAAUUCUGAAGAGAAAAUUGGUGGCCUUCCAAUUCUUGAUGCAGGCCAUGGGGACUUUCAAUCAUGUAUUUCUUAUUGUGAUUUGAUGGAGAUACCUUUUAAAGAAAGUUCUUUCACUUGGUGGAAUGGUAGAGCAGGUAAUGACUGUAUUUUAGAAAGAUUGGAUAGAAUUUUUACUAAUCAACAACAACAACAACAACAACAACAACAACAACAAACCCAGUGUAUUCCCACCUAGUGGGGUCUGGGGGGGUAAGAUGUACGCAGUCCAUACCUCUACCUCUGCUGAAUUUUUACUAAUCAAGAUUUACAAAAUAAGUUCAAUCACAUGAAGGUAGAACAUCUUGCUACUAGUUCAGAUCAUGCUCCCAUGUUGUUGUAUUGUUAUGACAGAGCUAUCAGUUACAAGAAAUCUUUUAGAUUUCUUAAGUUUUGGACUGAUCAUCCUAAGUUCCUAGAAGUAGUAAGGCAGAAUUGGUGUUCUUCAGGUUCUCAGAGUCCAUUCUUAGAUUUCAAAGCAAAGAUUAAGAGAAUUAAAGUUGCUUUGACAAGAUGGAGUAAAGAGACUUCUGGGGAUAUUUUUAAAUAGUUGAUAAUCAGGGAAGAAAUUGUCAAGAUCAAAGAGAAAUUAUUUGAGGAAUGCCCUACGGCUGAUAACAGCGAAGUGUUGCAAAGAGCUCAGUCCGAGCACAAAAUAUAUCUUCGUUUUGAAGAGAUUUUUUGGCAGCAAAAAGCAGGUUAUGACUGGUUUGAGAAUGGUGACAGAAAUAUUAAAUUUUUUCAUAGCACUGUGAAGGGGAGGAGGAAAAGAUUGAAUUUGAAUAGAAUUCAAAUUAAUCAGGGUAUUUGGCUGGAUAAAGAAGAAAAGAUAGCCGCAGAGGUUGUUAUGUUUUAUCAGGACCAAUUUAGACAAGAACAAGAGGCUAAUGUUUUUUCAUAACUGAAUAAUAUACCUAAGAGUAUUUCUGAUGAGCAAAAUAUUGUUUUAAGUCAGUAAGCUGAUCUUGAAGAAGUUAAAAAGGCACUUUUUAGCUUAAAUGAAUAUAGUGCAAGUGGCCCGGAUGGGUUAACAAGUAGGUUCUAUCAGGUUCGCUGGGAUAUUAUUGGUAAUGAUGUUCUUAAUCUGGUGCAAGAUUUCUUAAAAGGUAAUACUCUUCCCAAAUUCAUUAUUCAUACUAAUUUGGUGUUGCUUCCCAAGAAGGAUUUUAUUCAAUUUUUCUCAGAUUUGAGACCAAUUAGUCUUAAGUAAUUUUAUUAAUAAGAUCAUUUCUAGGAUUGUGCAUGACAAAAGUGAACUUCUUUUGCCUAGACUGAUUUCUUUUAAUCAAUCUAAAUUUGUCAAAGAGAGAAGAAUUAUUAAAAAUUUCCUCCUGACUCAAGAGAUAGUUACUGACAUCAGAAAAAUGGGUAAGCCGGCUAAUGUGGUCUUAAAGCUUGAUAUGACUAAGGCUUAUGAUAGGGUUUCCUGGUUUUUCCUGAUGAAGGUUCUAAGAAAAAUAGGGUUCUCAAAAUUGUUUAUGGACUUGUUUUGGAGAUUAUUGUCUAAUAAUUGGUAUUCUAUACUAAUUAAUGGGCGAUCACACGGCUUUUUUCACUCAACUAGGGGAGUAAAACAAAGAAAUCCUUUAUCUCCAGCUUUCUAUUUGAUGAUGCUCAAUAUGUAGGUUAUGAUAUGCCAAAGUGGAGUUCCAAUAUUAAUCAUCUUGCUUAUGCAGAUGACACUAUUAUAUUCGCUGCAGCUAACAGAUACUCUUUGAGAAAGAUUUUUUCAGUGUUACGGGAAUAUGAAACUCAAUCAGGGCAAAAAGUUAAUAAAGAGAAGAAUGCUUUCUACAUGCAUCAGAAUUCAGCUGCAGUUGAUAAACAAAUGGUGGAAGAUUGUGCGGCUAUUUCUAAAGGCCAAUUUCCUUUGAAAUACCUUGAAUGUCCUAUCACUCAUGCUAGAAAAAGAAAGAGUCAUUAUUCAGAGCUAAUUCAGAAGGUUAAGUCAAAAUUACAGGCUUGAAAAGGUAAUAUUCUCUCAUAUGGGGGGAAAGGAGGUCCUUAUCUCUAGUGUUCUUCAAAGUGUUCCUAUACAUAUCCUUUCUGUUGUUGUCCCUCCUAUUUGUGUAUUGAAGGAGCUUCACAGAAUAUUUGCAAAUUUUUUUGGAGUAAUAAGGCCGAUGGAAGAAACAAACACUGGGCUGCUUGGGUAAAGGUGUUUUUACCAAAACAGAAGGCAGUUUGAGUUUUAGAUCGAUGUUUGAGGUAUCUCAAGCCAUGUAUCCUAAGUUCUGGUGGAAGUUCAGAACUCAAAAUACUACUUGGUCCAACUUUAUAUGAGACAAGUAUUGCAAAAAGCAAAUACCUUCACUAGUUUAAUGGAAAGGUGGCUCGCAAGUAAGGAAGCAUAUGUUGCAAAAUAGGGAUCUAGUGGAGCAAUUCUUGUGGUGGAACCUAAAGGAGGUACUUCUACAGUUUGGUAUGAUAAUUGGACUCAACUUGGUCCUCUUUUCAAACACCAGGUAGAGGUCAUUCUUCUUUUCCAGUGAUGGAUAUUGAGGAAUUCAUGUUGGGCUCAGACUGGGAUUUUGAGAAUAUGCAAUAUCAUUUAUCAGAUAAUGUAGUAGAGCAUGUAAGAUUACAUUUGAGGCUUGUACGACAUCCUGGAGAAGGUGACAAGCCCUGGUGGAUUAAAUUUAGUUCUGGCAAGUUCUCGGUUAAAAGUGCUUGGGAAGAACGGAGGAAAAAAACGUUUGUAAUGAGUCAUUUCAGAAGAUCUGGGUAAAAGAGAUUCCUUUCAAAAUUUCUUACUUUGGUUGGAGAGUUUGGACAAAUAGGAUUCCUGUAGCCUCUGUUUUAGCUAAUUGGAAUCCUAACUUGUCUCCUCUUUAUUCAUAUUGUGUUUCAAGAAAUCAUGGAGCACCUCUUUCUAAAAGGUGAAGUGGUUUAUUUCGGUUUGGAUUUAUUACGCCAAUGCUGCAGGUAUUCUGGGGCCCUGGGUUCAAAUUAAACUAUCCAUAAAGAAGUGGUGGGAUAUAAAUGGUAAUUAAAGACAAAGAUUCAUCUUUCAGGUAGUUCCUACUCUCAUUUUGUGGUUUUUACGGAAAAGAAGGAAUGCAUUAGUUCAUGGAGGUUCAUACUCUACAGCCAAGGUUAUUUGGGAUAUUAAUGGUUUAAUUAAGAAAAUUCUCAGAAAGAAGUUUGGUUAUGAUCAGUUACCAUCUAGUUGGCCUCAAAUAGUUGCUUUUUGACUUAUUUAGACCUACAUUUUUAUCUAGAUGGAUAAGAUGGUAUCCCCCACCUAGGGGAUAGUGGAAAUAUAACACUGAUGGAACCUCGAGAGGUAAUCUAGGUCGAAUUUCAGCUGAUUUUUGUGUACGAAAUCAUGUAGGUGAUCUUGUGUAUGCUAAGGGUUUCUCUAUUCCAGAUUCCACUAAUCUGGUUGUUAAAGUCAUUGCUAUAGGAGUUGGUUUACAUUAUUGCUUAGAAAAUCAAAUUGUCAACAUUAUUGUGGAAUCUGAUUCCCUUGUAGUAGUCAACAUGAUUAAUGGAGUGUGGGAAAUUCCUUAGAGUGUGAUAAUGGAGGUCAACUCCAUUAAAGAUAUGAUGGAUUCUUGUUCAGCAAGAGUACAACACUCCUUAGGAAAGGGAAAUACUCUUGCUGAUUAUUUAGCUAACUUGGUUUUUCAUUUUGCAGGUAACUUUGAAUUCAACAGUUUUCAUGAAAUUCCAAGCGCAGGUAGGAAGAUUAUCAAUCUAGACAAACAAGGCAUUCCACAAAUGAGGAUAAGACAGUGUACAUCAACUAAUUCAACAAGGGAUGGAUCGCUACUGCAGAUUACAAAGUGAAUUUACAAACUCUAUUAGCAGUGACUAGUUACUGGUGAAUUUAGUGCAGUCUGAAUUAGUUUCGUUUGGUUAACAUACCAUGCACCUGUGGGAAUUUUUAGGUGUUACAUAGAGUAUAAACCCAGGACUCACUUAUACUAGUUGCUAAUUUCUAGGUAUAGAGUUUAUAAAAAUCAAGCACAAAUUUAGAGGCAUUUCAUAGUCUCAAAUCUGUUGAUGAGGAGAGGAUGGAGUACCCGGGACCUCAAAUUUAGCGGCGGAAGAUAGACAGGGUAUAAUUAUCAAGCAAUACAAUUCUUUUAUACAGAUUCCACUUCAGAGAAGAACAAAAAUAAUCAUUGCCAACUUAUGGAUUGCAAAGUGUCAAAAUACAAAUUUCAGCAUUUGGAGUAACACAAGAAGGCAAGGAGCAAGAUAAGUAUUAAUGGACAGUAGUGGUGAUUAACAUUCACUAAUACUGAUUGAUUUCUAAGUCAUACAAUUGAAAUGGGGGUUAAGGUGAACCUGUUAGUUCUGGAUCCUUGGUGGUGGUAUCAAUCUCCUUGAGGUUUAUUCCGCUAGGAAAAAGAGAGAACAGUGAAAUCAUUUUUUUCAUUUCACAGAUGAGUUUAGAAUAGAAAAAGGGAGGUGACUUACCAUAUCAUCUGCAAUAAAUAUUUAUUGAUUUGGAGCUGUAGAAAUUUAGUUGAAACCAAUUUCAUGAAGUUUGUAAGAGAUUAAAGUGUCUUAGUGAAAUUUGAUGGAUGUUCCAUGGCAAUAAUGGCUUCCACAACUUAAUGCAACAACCAGAUGAGGUUGGAGUAGCAAAGAUUGAAACCAUAGUUGCCUCUCCGUGAUGUCUUUCAGCUUUGAGUUUUAUCCACACAUUCCUUUUCCUGCUUACAUUUUCUGUUUUUGGUCUUUUCAGAUGUCUGGAUAUAUUUGUUGCUUUUGUUUUGGACCCGGGUCUUGCUUAACUUGGGCCAAUUUGUACAUAUCUUUUCUGCUCCUGAAUAAAUUGGGCUCUGGUCCAUCUUCAAUUAAAAAAAAGGAAAAAUGACAUGGACUGACCAGUUUAAAAAAAGGAAAUUUUGCAUAUAUACCGACAUGUUUACUCUUAAUUACCAAAAAUUUCAACAUUUUUCAAAAUCUCCAAAAAUUCCAACAUUUGACCUCUGAUAAUACAAGUUAAUCACAUUAGAUACAUACUGUUGAUAUAUGUAUCUAAUGUGAUUAACUUGUAUCAUACAUUAGAUAUAUGUAGGGUUACAUUAGAUACAUGUAGGGUUACAUUAAAUACAUGUAGGGUUAACUUGUAUCUCAAAAAUAGUCCCAAAUAUGAAAUGUUGGAAUUUAUGUAAUUUUUCAGAAGUAGGGGGAUUUUUAGAAAUUUUGAAAGUUAUGAUGUUUAUUUAUGUAAUUUUUUGUUAAAAAGAAAAAAAAUAGCCCACACUAUGAAAAUAUGGACAAUUGGAGCCAGUAGACCCAAUUUAUUUCCUGUUUUUUCAGUCAUUUGGCCCAAAACUAUUCUCCUUACACAAUUAAGGGGAUUAAAUACUCUUCACAGUAGGCUACUCUUAAAUCACUUUUCUUUUCAAACUAUACUUUCCCAAAAAAAUGUUCACCUCUAUUAUGUGUCGAUCAAUCUACUGUGUUUUGUGAUAACAAUUGAGUUAGUAGGGCACAUGCAGUCUCUAUACCCAAUUGAUACACUUUUGUACCAUAUUGAUACAUGUUUAUACCCAAUUGAUACUCUUUAUACUACAUUGAUACACUUUUAUACUCAAUUGAUACUCUUUUAUACUAGAUUGAUACACUUUUAUACCACGUCGAUACAGUAUGUAUAUUACAUAAAUACAUCUUUUACAGAGGAAAUUUGUGCAAGCAUAUACAGUAACAAUACCAAAUUAAUACAGUAAAUCAAAAUUAGUAAGUACGAACAUAAUUGAUACUCUUUAAAAUUAUAGUAUUAAUAGUACAUAAAGUAACAAAAAAAAAGAUCAAAUCAUCUUUCCAUCAAUUAUUGUUUUGAUUUAGUUCAUUCUUUCUCCUUAACGCUCUUUUAUAUUUCUAACUUCCUCUUCCUACCUUUAUUUUCUCUUCUUUUUUUCUUUCCUUCAUUACUAAGUUAGUUGUAAACACCCAUAUGAUGAAGUAUGUAUUUACUCUUGAGUUGAUGUCAUAUUUAUCCUACUAAGAAAAAUCACAGGUUCUGUAAGGAAUUGUCUAGACAUGGAGUACAUAUAAAAAUUUAUUCUGCCACUUGAAAAAAACCUGUAAAAAACUAAUUAAAUUCAGAUUUUUUGAGAUUUUAUACAAAAUUUAUGAAAUGAGAAAGGUAAAUUGGAGUAUCGAAAAAAGGUAAAGGAACAAAUAUUUAGGAGUUUGAAUGGAAAGGAAACUGGGAAUGAAAAGAAAAGAAAGAAAGGGAAAGUUACUUCAAGGAUGUUUUUGAUUUUGUUUAAGCGUAUGACAGUGAAGGUUAGUUAGUGGAAUUACUCUGUGUCUAUUUAUGAUGUAUUUAAUUUUGACUGCUAUUUUUUUAUAUUAUUUUAGUUUUAGGUGUUAUUUCUGUCAUUUGCCCAAAAAAAAAAACUUACUAUUUUACUACAAUUCUUGUUGGUAAGAAUACAUUAUUUCUUUUUUUUUUUUAGGGCAAACAACAUAAAUUUCGAGAAUUUGGAGCUUAAUUACAGAAAAUUCUGAUAUUUUGCAUAAUUGUUGAAAAUCUCAAUUUUGGAUCUGUUGAGAUACAUUAUUAGCUUCUGAUACAAUCAAAAAGAUACAUUUUUAACUUUGUAUAGAUAUAUAAUUAGCUUCCGCUACAUAUUUUUUAAAUUUUGCGUUUGUUGAGAUAUAUAAUACAUCCAAUGAAGAUAUAUUUUUUUCUUUGUAAAGAUAUAUAAUUAGCUCCCAGUGCAGUUUUUUUAUUUUUGGGUCUGUCGAGAUACAUAAUAAGCUUUCGAUACAUCCAACGAAGAUAUAUAAUUAAUUGAGCUUUUUGUAGUUAUUUUGUAAGAGUGAAAAUUUUGUAUAAAUAUAAUAAGUUAAGAUGUAUAUUUAUACUAUUUUUCCAUAAUUUGCUUGCGAACCAAAUCGACCACUAAAGAAUUGAAAAGUUAAACAAUUUGUUCCCAAUACAGAACAAACUUUAGCCUAAAAUUUAAUGCUAAAAAUUACUACAAUGAGCUGAGUGGCUGAAAUGGUGCCACUUAAGAAUAAUUUGGUGGAUGAAAUGAAUGAAUUGUUUUGGAGUACAAAUUUUGAUUUAGACAAUCUAUUGAAAUUUAUUAUAGUACUGUUUAUAUUUAGGGGCCAUUUUUCAGGAUCUAUGAAAAAUUUAUAAUGUUGAGUAGAACAUACUAUAAAAGUAAUGUUGGAUAGAGCAUAUCACACAUUAGCACAAUCCUAAUCAAUAAUGAUAGCUAUUCAUCUCUAGUUCACUUUUAUAGUUAAUCAAAGAAUUAUUAACAACGAAAAUUAAUUUUCUUGUUUUGGUUUUCUAUCAUUGAAUCAGCAAUAGUUUGAUAUAAGAACUAUUCAGAACAGACUAAAUUAAAGAGAAAGAUGGAAUACCGUCAAUGAAAAUAAUAGGAUAUGAUAUCUUCAAAGAUAAAGAAGGCAGUGAACUUUUUACACAUAUAAUACGUAUAAUUAUUAAAGAAUAUAAAAGAAAUUAAAAAAAGGACAUACAGUACAUAUAUAAACUGGAAAAGAAGAUCAAUAAUGUAAAAGUUUGAUGUUAACACUGUUCCUUAAUUAAAAUUUCCAUAAUGAUUAUACUCGCUAUUUUCUUUCAUUUGCACAAAUCAAUAUGCUCCUUUCCCCCCUUUUUUUCUCCUGAUCACUCCUUAAAGAACGAGACAUAUAGCAUACAUAGAGAAGAGAGUACUUUGUCUCCCUCAAUAAAUACCUUGAGAAAAAAAUGUAACUCAUUAGUAGUUUCUUGAUUUUGUAAAAUUUUCUUUAUUUAAAAAAGAGUAACAUUGGAAGAAGGUCAUUAGUAUCUUUUUUAUUAUCUAAAACAACAUUUAUUAUCUUUUUUAUUAUCUAAAACAACAUUUAUUAGGAGCAAAAUAAAAAAGCUAAACAACCACUUAUUAGAAACAGAGGGAGUACUAAUUAUCUGAUAGUGUUUUCAGUGUUACGCAUCAUGAACUAAAAGCUUAAUUUAAGAAGCAUUGACUGCUUAAUGAAAUCUUUUAAUUCACAAUGAUAAUAAGGAAAUCCAAUUUGUGUUGUAUCAUUCUAGCCUUUCCAUUUUUUAUGGAGACAAAGCAUUAAUAGACAAAUGGAGAUUGGACAUAUCAAGAUUUCAGUCUCAUCCUGUCAAAUCAUUAAUUGUAAAACCUUCAUGUAUUUCUAUGUUCAGCCUAAGAUAUUAAGGGGUUAAUAUUCUUUCAAAACAUGGAGAGUUUCUGAUAUUGGGAGACAUGGUUGUUUGUCGAAUAUAUUUAUUUCUCAAUAAUUGAAAUAUAUAAUUGUAUUUGAUGUGAAGAAAGUAUUAGUUAAAAUGCAGUUUGGUUCAUUUUGGCUAGGGAUUCCAUCCUUUCCAUGUAUAAAAGUUUUUGAAUGUAAGGAUGAGAAAUCAAGGUAUCUGCUACACUUUUUUUAUAUAUACGUGUAGCGCAUGUAUCGAGAAAUUAGUAAAAGAAAAAAAAAAUUCCUCAGCUAAUUCUCAAUCAACACCAACUCCAUCUUAGGAAAGUGUGGUUGGUUCUGUUCUUCCUCGAAUUCAAUGAAUUUUUGUCAUAUUGUCAUACAUAUAACGAAUAAUAUAUAUAUNNNNNNNNNNNNNNNNNNNNNNNNNNNNNNNNNNNNNNNNNNNNNNNNNNNNNNNNNNNNNNNNNNNNNNNNNNNNNNNNNNNNNNNNNNNNNNNNNNNNNNNNNNNNNNNNNNNNNNNNNNNNNNNNNNNNNNNNNNNNNNNNNNNNNNNNNNNNNNNNNNNNNNNNNNNNNNNNNNUAUGCCUCUUUUCCUCUUUAAAUUUUAAAGUAAUAAUUAAGAAGAAAAAAGAAGAAGAUACUAUUCAAUAAUUUAAUUCUGAUACCAUCAACAUGGAAGACUCCAUUUGCUUCAUCUAACAAUGGACUUUGGCAUUAUAUAAUUAACAAAACAAUUAAUUAUUAGGAUAACUUAAUCACCGACAAAGGUUUCUUACUAUUAUCCUUAUGAGAUUCCACUAGUUAAGCUAAAUAUUUUUAAUCGACGUAAGAGUUAUGAAUGUAUAAACAAGUAGAUCUUAGCUACAUUGACCUAGUCAAUCAUUAUUAUUACCGACAUAUUUAUGCUAUACAAAUAUUUGUCCUAAUGCUAUCUUUUAUUUAUUUUUUUAAUGGAAAAGGGUCAAAAAGAUUCCUGAAUUAUUCGAAGUGGAGCAAAAAUAUCCCUCAUUAGUUUUUUGUCUCAAAAGUAUCCCUCUCUAAUGAAAUAACACCAAGCAUGUCAUGUAGACAAAAUACGUCACUUGAACAGUUCACGUCAGAUCGACCAUCUUUAUUAAAGGUGAAUGCUCCAUUAAAUGAGAGAUUUUCCAUGUGGAUAUUGGCGCCUAGCGUGGACUGUUCAAGUGGCGCUUUUUGUCCACGGACAUACUUAGUAUCAUUCUGUUAGAGAGAUGAAUAGUUUUGAGCCAAAAAUUUAAUGGAGGAAUAGUUGUAAGCAAAAAAAUUAACGAAAGAUAUUUUUACUUUAUUUCAAAUAAUUUAGGAAUAUUUUUAAUCGUUUUUUGCUUUUUUAUGAUUUCUAAGUUGCUUAUAAUUUUUUUAUUACUACAUGAUUAACAAUAUUUUUUUAUUUCCAUAAAUAACAGAGAGUAAACUAAGUUGCACCUUAAUGGUCGAAAAGUAUUCACUAUUUUUUUUAGACUUAAAGAGGUGAUUCUGAUACAUGUCUUAUGAACAAUCAUUACAAAUUUUAUUAUUUUAAAUUUUGUUUUAGAUAAGUCUAUGAUUAAGUUGUUGGUGACCAAUUUAUUCAAUUGAGUGAGGCUGGCAUGUCCAAAGAUUUUAGGACGAAGAAACGGGUUAUUAUGUUAAUUAGGUAGAUUUAUUUUAGGGAGAAAUAAGACAUAUGCUUUAAUUUGUAAAUAUUAAUAAGUAUUUUUCCAUUUAAGCAUAGCUUCUUUUAAAUUUAAAUUAGUAAUCAAACAGUGUUUAGUAGUAUUUUCUACCUUGUUGGCUUUGUCACACAUUUGAGAGAUGCUAAAAAUGUGUAUUAAAAAAAAAAUAAGAUGGAAAGAGAAGCAUACUGGCUCAAAGGUAAAGCCGCUAAAACGUGCUUUAAGGUUCAAAAAUAGUAUUUUUAUUAUAUAAUUAGUCUCUCCUAUGUUUUACAGUUUAUAGUCUAUAUGCAAUAAAUCAAAUUCUAUUAUAUAAUUUUUUAUAUAAAAAUAAAAGUUUCUUUAAAGUUAUUAAAGGAUGUCCAUUUGUUGUAAUAAAAUACAUUGAUUUUGGUUCUCAGAAUCCUAUUGGUACAUAAUAAACUUUGGCUAUUUUAAUUCAAAGUUUUAAAAUAUCAAAUACAAUUCUAUAAUCUUUAACUAAAAAUUUAAAAAUAAGAUUAUUAAACUUCCGAUGAUAUGAUUGUAUAAGAAAAUAAUAAACAUUUUAAAAUGUUAUUGUAACUUUAUAUAAUACAUGUAACAGUAUUUUUCUAGUGAUUAUAAGAAGAAUUUUAUUGAAAAAUCAAACGUAAUUGUAACUUGCGGUAUUGAAAGUAAAAUUUGAUGGCGAGGAAAAUAUGAGUCCAUUCUUAUGUCAUUAAAAUUUAUAAACCUUUUUAUUAAGAUGACUUGAAAAUGGUAUUUAACUAUAUAUAAUUUAUAAUUUUUUAAUUAUCAUAAAUAAAAUAUUUCAUUUUCGUGAUAUUUUAGUUUGGAUUGCUUUCUAUCUAUCAUUAAUGACAAAAUACAUCGUCAGACCCCUUAAAUUGACACCAUUUUUCACUUUGGCAUCUUAAGUGGACAUUGUUCACCUUUGGCAGUUCAAAUAACCAUAAAGUGUAUCAUUUUGACAUCUUUCGACAUCAAUAAAAGUGUGUGUUACACUCACUGUCAACGUGGAUAAAACGGCCAACUGAUUUAUGCCAAUUCAUUUAAAUUGCCACAUCAUUAUUUAUAUUCACAAUUAGUUUUAAAAAAAAUAAAAUCAAAACAUAUGGCAAUUAAUGACAUAAUUAUCUAACUCAUUAAUAUAUAUACAAAAUUAAAUUAAAAGAAUCAAUUAAUUACUGACACGUGACAUUUUUCAAAAUAAUUAUAAAAUUAUUUAUUUUAUUUGGACAACCCUCCACCCACCUCCCACCCCCAAACUCCAAAGUCAUCUUCUCUACCACCAUCUAUCCCCCCGAUACCCCCCACCCUAAAUCAUCUUCUCUAUUUGGCAACACCCCUCUUCCCGUCAUGUUCUCCAUCUCCCUCCCCCCCCACCACCCCCAACCCCUGCCUGAGUCAUCUUAUCCUCUCCAUUUGCCCCUUUGAAAAGAUGAACACUCAAUCAAAGAUUAUAGUAUAUAUGUAUAUCAAAGACCUUGAUUAGUCAUAGCUUGACCUCAAAAAUUAGAAGGCAUUAAAUGACUGUUUUUUUUCUUAACAAAAAAUAAAAAAGAAAUGAUUGACCUUGAAAUAUAUUCAUCAGUAGUAUGUGUGAACCUAUUCUUUGGCAACGCAGUGGUCUUCUUACUACUUCAGUUGCAGUCAUAACAUGUUGACAAAGAUGGUGAUUGCUCAACAACAAAUCACUCGUUGUUGUUAGUGUGUUAGUGUGUUUCGUUAUUCUUGAAAAGUUCAACCUCCAUUAAUGGAAGUUAAGCUAAAGAAAGGUUGUGUGAAGAAGGCAAUGUGAGGAAAUUUUUUGUAAUUAUUUGGUCAAUAAAACAUGUGCCAUUAAUUUAUUGGAUCAAUUUUUACUGAUUUGGCAAUAGAGAUUUUCAAUAGUUUUAAAAAAAAUUUAAAGAUGAAAAAUUACAAAAAUAUCCCUAAAAAUUUAUGAAAAUACUCUUCAAACGCUCCAAAAAGUGAGCAACGUCCACUUGAAGUGCCAAAAUGAAAGAUAGCACCAAGUUGAGGACCGACAAUAUAUUCUUUCUUCAUUAAUUAGUGCAUGUACUACUCCUGUACUCCAUUGGUUUUGAUUUUUUCUUGUUCCUGCACAUUAUUUCUCCUUUUUUACUGUCUAUAUAGUACUAUUUUUUAACUUAGUAUGUUGAAAUUAAUUAUUUUUUAUUUGCAUAUGAAAAAGAAAUACUUAACUAGAUUGAUUCUUAUUCGUAUAUAAAAAGUUAAAAUAGUGAAAUUCAAGAAAAAUAUAUGAAUUUUAUAUUUGGCUUUAGAUGGCUAAUUAUAUUAAGCCGCCCUUGAAGGGACGGUGAAUUGUAAUAUUUUUUGUGGUUGACUAUGAGGCGAGCUAUAAUAUGAAAUCAAAUAAGUAACAUAGUAUAAUUAUGUGCUAAGUAAUGUGUCAUAUGAUAUUUUUCAAUUGAUUUGAAUUCAGUGUGAAUUAUAGUUAGUCCUUCCUUUUGGAUUUUUGUUAAACUGAAAUUUUCAUUUUUAUUACAUAGAGAGAGAAGUUAUAAAAAGGAUGAUUACAACGUGUUGUAACUUUUCAGGACGAAGAACAACAAGUCAUUGUUUUAUUAAAGAGGGAUUGUCCCUUGUCCAUAUCAGCUUUCAAGAAAAUAACAGAACAAAUGUUGAAUCUACUACUAUGAGAAAUUCAUCAUUUGUUUUGUUGGAGUUAGCCAAUGUCUGCUUUCUCCUUCCUAAUCCUAAAAUUAGCCAAACCAACUUUAUCCAACCUAUAAGUCCUUUAUAUUCAUCAUUAAGCUCUUGAAAUUGUUGUUGAGUACAAUGUUGAGGGUGUACUUAAUUUCUAAUCAUACAAUAGCGGUCUUUUUCACUCUUUGUAGUUGAUAUAUUGCCUCACCAAACACUAUUUUCCUCUCUUCGCUCUUUUUAAAUACACAAUAAAUGAAUUAGGAAGUUACAAUGCUUGUUAAGAAUAGCAUAGAGCUUUGGAGAAUGUUUGGACAGGAUGUACAGUUUCUUUUCCUAGAAGGCAUAUAUAGUCUUUGUGUGCUUGAUGUCUUGAAAAAGGAUAGAGAAAGACAAUCCAUACUACAUGAAAAAUAUUGAAUUGAGACAUAAUAUUUAUCAAUGGACAAGUCUGGCAUAGAGUUUAAACGGAUUUGUGAUAGAAUUAACUAAUUUAUAGUGUUGAUUUUAAUUUUUUCAAAAAUAAAUCAUAAAAUAGAUUGCCUAGCUUGACGUGUUAUGUGAUAUUAUGCAUAGAUUAAGUCCAUUGGAGGUUGUCUGAUUAGAGAAUCGGACAAUGCUUAGCAUGGGAAUUUCAUUGAAUAUGGAGCUAAGUGAGACUUUAAUCUCUCAUUUACUUGCUUUUUCAAAAGCAUUAUUUAAAACUGAGAAAUCGCUUCAAACUACUCCUCCACCCCAUUUUAGUUGGGCACAUUCUAUUUUAUACGGUGAUUAAGAAUCAUAAAUUGAAUGAUAAAUUUUACGAUCUUACCCUUUACUCAUAUUAAUGUUAUUCGUUGGGCAUAAGAAUGAACAUUGAAAUUGAAAUUGUUAACAUUUAAUAUAUACUAAAAAUUGUAGGGGAAAAAUAAAAAAAUAAUUAAUUUUAUCCUAAUUUAGUAAGUGGUCUUUUUUGGUGGGCUGAAACGCAUUAAAAAGAAAUAGCGGAGUAUUACAGUAGCACCUGGAUUAACCAGGAUCUACAAAAUUUGAGUUUGAGCUUAUGCCCUCUAAUGAAACAUUACAACACCUUGUUUGCCUAAUGAAACUAGUUCCUAGGAUGUCAGCCCAGGUAGCUUUGCAGCAUACAUUGGAGGAAUUACAAAAGAGUUUCUCUGUCCACAAACUUUCAGUCUUGCUCCUUCCUUAGCUAAUGCAUCCUUCACCAUAUUCUGCUCUUUAUAGCAGUGCUGGAUUUGUGGUCGUCCCAGACUCCUGAUUAGCAACCUGCAUCCAUUAAUUAUGGCAUUAUAGUGGAGGUUUCCCUCUUUGAGCAUAAUAAUAACCUUUUUCGAGUCUACAUUGAUGUCCACGGGAACUAAGGACAUUUCCUCCAUAAUUUUUAGUCCCUUUAGUUGAGCAAAGAGCUCCAUCUGGUUAUUAGUAAUCACAGGGAAAACUUUUUUGAAACCUGUAGUCCAAUUCCCUUCAUUGUCUCUAAUAACCCCUCCAAUACCACCCCUACCAGGAUUUCCCAAACAUGAGCCAUCAGUGUUAAGUUUAAAUCUUUCUUUAGAGGUUGGUUCCCACUUAACACUAAUGUUCAAUAAUCUAUUUGUCACGACCUGAAUCAAGGUCUGGCCGUGAUGGGCAUCCCUAGCCAACCAAGGUCGGAGAUGACCCCUAACCUUACCUCAAGAGCACAUCAGUAAAAACAAACAACAAAAUCCAACCAAGAUAAAAAGAGAAACAUAUGAUUCCAAAAGAAAGUUAAGAGUCAAAACCAACUCCAUAAUAAUAUCCCGACACUGCCUACAAAAGUCUCUAAUCCAAAAAUACCAACUAAGUCAAGACAUGUCCCCGACUAUAACAAAAGAAAUUCAAAAGUUCUGAAAUGAUAAAUGUAACUAAGAAAGAGGCCAAGUCUUUUGAUAGUUCAUAAGUUGGUUGAACUUGUGUUGAACUUAUUGUGGAUUAAAUACAAAUUUUGUACCCAGAAUAACAAUCUUAAGGAAUUUAUUAAUAAUUUUAAUUUUUGAGUUUCUAGAGAUUAAAACUUUUUGCUUUCUACGCUGUUUGAACUUUAUAGUGAUUUGAAGUUAUAAAAACUUCAUCACGGGUUAAUGUUCAUUCAGUUGAUGAUUAGAAGAACAUAAAAGCUUCAACAUUAAACUAGAAAUAAGUUGUUUAAAGUUUUUAAAACUUUAUUCUUAGUAUUUUGACUUACUAAAUUGGUUGUCUUUUUGUCACAGUAAAAAUGAUUAUUGAAAAUCAAGUUAAUGAUGGAAUGGUCAAUGUCACAACAACAAAUAUUGCUACUUAAAAUCGUUCAAAUGCUGCUCCGCCAAGGCACUGACAGAAAAAUCAGAAAGUUUUCUAGUGUGGAUUUUAAAAGAUGGCAGCAGAAGUUGUUCUUUUAUCUGACUACAUUAAAUCUACAAAGGUUCAUCACUGAAAGCAUUUCAGAGUUUUCGAAAGAAAUAUCCAAAAAUAUACUUUAUUACUACAAAAGCUUGAAAGCACUUGAAUUUUUUAUAUAAGAACUACAUACUGAGUGGCUACAACAUGGCAUGUACAAUGUGUACAGCAAUAUGAAGACCUCUAAGGAACUAUGGGUAGCUUUGGAAAAGAAGUACAACAUAGAGAAUGCAUGAAUGAAGAAAUUUAUUAUUGCAAGAUUUGUAGAUUUUAGGUGGUAGACAGUAAUACUGUAGUUACCCAAGUUCAAGAACCGCAAGUCAUCAUUCAUGAUCUCCUCACCAAAGGUAUAAAUUUGUUCUUGAUACUUACAUAGUCUCUGAUGUAGGCUUAAUUGUGAACGAGGCUUAUCAAGUAGCUGCUAUAAUCGAGAAGUUACCACAUUUGUGGAAAGACUUCAAAAACUACUUAAAGCACAAGCACAAGGAGAUGUCUUUCGAAGACCUUAUUGUGAGGUUAAGAAUCGAAGAGGACAAUAAAGCAUCAGAAAAGAGGUCUCGAUGGAAUUUACAAUAAGUAGAGAAAAUAUUGUGGAAGACGACCCCCAAUAAAUUAAAGAGAGAAAGGAAGCGUCAGGACAAUAAGGCAAUCCUCCUAAGAAGAAAUUCAAAGAAAAUUAUUUUAACUGUGACAAAGUUGGCCACAAGUCUUCAGAUUGUCAGGCUCCUAAGAAGGACAAGAAAAGAGGAUCAAGCUAACAUGGUUGAAUCCAAGAUGAUGUGGAGAUCUAUGUGCUAUGCUUUUGGAGUGCAUGUUGGUUGAAAAUCCUAGAGAGUAGUGGAUUAAUUCAGGUGCCACUAGCCACAAUGUGCCAACAAAAAAUUAUUUCCAUUAUAUUUUCUGGCUCAGGCUAAUGAGAACAUAUUCACGGUAACUCUGUUACGGUAAAGAUUGAAGGAAAAUGCAAGAUUUACUUGAAGAUGACAUUGGGCAAGGUGGUGACACUAAACAACGUCCUUUAUGUUUCAAAGUUGCGAAAGAACUUAGUUUCUACUUCACUUCUAACUAAAAAUAGAUUCAAAUAAGAAUUUGUUUCUGACAAAGCUGUAAUUAGUAAGCAAGAAGUGUAUGUAGGUAAAGGUUACUUCAUCGAGGAUUUUUUUAAGAUCAGUGUAAUAAAUGUUGAAAUCAAUAAAAAUUCUGUUUCUUCUUACUUACUUGAGUUAAAUGAAUUAUGGCAUGAACAUUUAGGACAUAUUAAUUACAAAACUUUGCAAAAACUGAUUAAUUUAAAAAUUUUGCCUAACUUUGAGUGUAAUAAAUCAAAUUGUCAAACAUGUGUGGAAUCUAAGUAUGCUAAGCAUCUAUAUAAGUCUGUUGAAAGGAAUUUCAAUCCCUUAGACUUAAUCCACACAAAUAUUUAUGCUAUGAAGUCAAUACCAUCUCAUGGUGAGAAAAAGUAUUUCAUAACUUUUAUUAAUGAUUGCGCUAGAUAUUGUUAUUUUUAUUUGCUAAAUGAUAAGAAUAAAGUAAUAGACGUAUUUUGGUAAUAUAAAACUAAAGUUGAAAACCAGUUGGAUAAAAAGAUCAAAAUAAUAAGAAGUAAUAGGAGUAGAGAGUAUGUAUCUUCUUUUGCAGGGGUAUGUUAGAAAAAAGGAAUUAUCCAUCAAACUAAUUUCCCGUAUUCACCUCAAUCAAAUGGGAUUGUGAAAAGAAAAAUUGAAUGUUAAAGAAAAUAAUAAUUGUCUUACUCAUAAGUUCAGAUAUACCGCAAAACUUGUGGGGGGAAGUUAUCCUUACAGCAAAUCGAAUACUCAAUAGAGUUCCCUAUAAGAAGACACACUCUAUCCUAUAUGAAAAUGAAAAGGAAGGAAACCCAACUUGAAAUAUUUCAAAGUGUGGGAUUGUCUAGCUAAAGUCCAAGUCUAUAUACCUAAAAGGAUAAAAAUAGGACCAAAGAUUGUGGAUUGUGUGUUCAUCGUAUAUGCUACAAGGAGUAAAGCAUUUCAAUAUUUGGUUCAUAAAUUCGAACCAUGAAAAUACGAUAAUCUGAAUCAGAUAAUAUUAAGUUCUUUGAAUACAUUUAUCCGUAUAAAAUUGGACAUGAGAUGUCUAGUGGAGGAUCUAAACAACCUCGAGAUGAACCAAAGGAGAAUGUACUUAAUAAUGAGAAUCAAGGUGUAGUACACGUCAAAUACCGUCAAUUUUCUUUGGAUAAGAUUUUGUAACAUUUCUUCUUGAAAAUGAGCCUUAAAAAUUGAAAGAAACGAUGUCGUCUUCAGACCCAUCCUUUUGGAAAGAGGCAAUCAAUGGUGAUAUAGAUUCAAUCUUGAGCAACCAUACUUAGGAAUUGAUUGAUCUUUCUCCGGUAAAUAAACCUUUAGGUUCUAAAUGGAUCUUCAAAAGGAAAAUAAAAGCUAGUGGUACUUUUGACAAUUAUAAGACAAGACUUGUUGUGAAAGAUUUUAGACAAAAAGAAGGCCUUUAUUAUUUCGAUACAUACUCGCCAAUAACAAGGAUAACGUUCAUUCAGAUGUUGGUUGCGUUGACGACAGUAUAUGAUGUUGAAAUUCAUCAAAUGGAUGUGAAUACAACGUUCUUAAAUAGAGAAUUGAAGGGAGAAAUUUACAUAAAACAACCUAAGGGUUUUGUAGUUUCUGGUAAAGAAAAGAAAUUGUGCAAACUUGUUAAAACACUUUAUGGAUUAAAACAAGCACCCAAAUAGUGGUAUAUAAAAUUUGACCAAACCAUGUUGGCAAACGAUUUCAGGAUAAACGAAUGUGAUAAAUGUGUUUACAUUAAAGACACUCCAAAUCACAAAGUCAUUAUUUGUUUGUAUGUGGAUGACAUGUUGACCAUCAGUAGAGACAUUCUAACAUAAAUGCUAUGAAAUAAAUGCCUGAGGGCAAGUUUGAUUUGAAAGACCUUAGAGUUGCUGACGUAAUCUUAGGGAUAAGAAUUUUUAGAACUCCAUAGGUAUUGGCGUUGUCACAGUCGCAUUACAUUGAAAAGGUGUUUGACAAGUUCAAGCAUUUAGAUUUCAAUAUUGUUGAGACUACAUUAGACAUGAGUUUUGCAUUUCAAAAGAAUGAAGGUGAAAGUAACUCACAGUUGGACUAUGCAAGAGUGUUGAAAAGUUUGGUGUAUAUAUCAUAAAUUGUACGUGAGAAGACAUAGAAUGCACUAUUAGUAAAUUAAGUCGGUAAAAGACUACUCCUAAUCAAACUCAUUGGAUGGAUAUGAAAAAAGUUUUAGGGUAUCUAAAACAUACCCAAGACUAUGUUUUUAUUAUAACAAAUAUCCAGCGUAGAUGAGGUGACUUUUCAAAAUAAUGUAAUUUUUCGUGAACCAUUACUUUCUUUCUGAAGCACCACAUUGUGGCUAUAAAUGCCUGAAUUUUUCCUCUGAUAAAGGUAUGAAGAUUUGAAGGGAAAAACAUUUUCUUUUUCUUCUUAAAACUCUGGUAUGAUCUUCAAACUAUUGAGUGAGUUCGUUGUUCAGAAAAUUUGAGGUACCACUAUUUUUUGAAGAGAAUCAUUUUUCGUAGGGAGGAUAUAUUCCUUUAACCUCGAGUACUUGACUAGAAUAAUUUUUUUAAGGAUACAUCGUGAAUUCAGUGGAUUUGACUCAAUCGUUUCUGUCUUCAUCCCAUUUUCUUAAAGUUGGUUUUAUUAUUUUUCCAGAAAAAUAGUUUGAACAUUAUAUUGAUAGUUCUUCAUUUGUUUGAACUUGUGUUUGAAGUUUUUGAAACUUCAUUUUGAUAGGUUAUAAGUUGUUGAACUUGUGUUGAAGUUAUUGUGGAUUAAAUACAGAUUUUGUACAAAAAAUAAUACGAAAUAGCUGUGAAACCUUGGGGAGCGACCAACUAAAAGAAUUUGCACCGAAGUCGAUCCGAAAUCACUUUCAAAGUAAUGGCUUACCACGACACAAUAUUUUCAGUUCCAUAUUAAUAUUAGAGUAAUUUUUCCAACAAGUGGCAAAGUUUGUUAUUUAACUACAAAAUUUGUUCGUCAACAAAUCCUUGUUUUUCUUUUGUUGGGUAGUAUAUUUUGGUUUUAUCUAAUCAAUCUAUUGACAAGCUAAGCGCCUACGAAAACGAUGUAGAUGUUCUACCUACGGGGGCGGGGGGGUGUCUAUUACAAUUACAAAAAUAAACUGAAUGUUGAGUUUCAGUUCCACUAACACCUUGCAAAAGUGAAUUACCCAUGAAAGAUGGGGGUAUUAUAUCAAAAAAAAAAAACAUAUCUUUUGUUGUUUUCUAAUUUCUAACGAUAUAUUUUUGAUCCAUUGCUUUCCCAUAGUAUGCUAACUUGACAGCCACUUUUUUUUGCUUUUCUAUAUACGUGGAACACUUUUUUUUUCGUCAAAAUGCGAAUCAUAAUUUAAUCCGUCAAUUUUUACUAAAUUGUAAUUGUCUUUUUUUUUUUAUAAACAGAGAUAGCAGGUAACCCAAGAAAAAAAAAUGUCUAGCAGAACAUAUUACGCAUCCUCGAAACUACUAUGACCUAUAAAACUAGAUGAUAAAAAAAUUGGUUUUAUCAUACUGGCACACUUGUAGAUGUUCCAUAAUUCAUGUAAAUUUACUUCAGAUGAAUUGUAGUUUUUGUGUUCAAAUUCAUAUAAAAACGAAAUGAUUUAAGUUUCGUUCUUUGAAUAUCGCCAUACAGAAAUAAAAUAGAACAAGGGGAGUACUUUUCUAGGUCUCUAUUUGAUAUUUUAUCAGUAACAAUUUGAAAAUAGUCAUAACUCAUACACGUAGUAGUAGGUGGAAAUGUUUCUGAUUGAAUUCGGCAUAAAAAUAUUUUUAUGGAAAAAAAGUUUCUUCUAGUUUUGGUUUAUAAGUGGAUCAAUUUUUGUGGAAAAAAAGUUUCUGCUAGUUUUGGUUUCUAAGUGGAUCAUUCCCUAGCGCUCUACUAAAUGAUUUAAUUUUAUAUAAAGAAGAUGAAAUUAUAAGAAAAAAGAGAAAAAAGAAAAAGACUAGAGAUCUAAAGAAGGGAAAACUUAAAGUAUGUGGUAAUAACUUCUUUUAUUCAUCACAUAAUCUCUGCAUUUUGCAAGGAGAUUGAAACUGAGCAAACAUACACAAAGACAUAAAAGUAAAAAUACAAAUAUAAAUAGAGUACAAACAAUAUCACUAAUAACUUAGAGAACAUGAAGCUACAAAAGAACUUCGCCUCCCGUGGGGCUUAUUGUUUACUCUUUUUUCUUCUUUUUGGCAUUGCCUCUCGAAAUGGAAAAUGCCUUUCCUUGAGCUCAACAUUCUGCUUUUCCUGCAUAAGAAUAUAAUAUUGUCAAUGAGAACAUAUAGUAACUGAUUAAUAAACCUAAUAAGUAGGAGAUAGCAUAGGCUUAUAUAUUAAUGCGUUUGCAUGAAGAAAUUGUGCAACUUGUAUUGAUUUGCAUUUAGACAAAUCAUUUUUAAGAAUUUUAGUUUGGCUUAAUUACCUUAGAUUUGAUGUUGUUGUUUCUUAGUGAUGGUAGGGAGGAGGUGGAGACUUGUAAACCGGAGUUGGUGGUGGUGGAGACUUGUAUACUGGUGCAGGAUGGUGUGGUGUUGGUGAAGGAUGGUAUGGAUUCACUGGUGGUGGUGACUUGUAAACGGGUGUUGGUGGUGGUGGAGAUUUGUAUACUGGUGCAGGGUGGUAUGACUUCACUGGUGGUGGUGGUGACUGGUAAACGGGUGUUGGUGGUGGUGGAGACUUAUAAACUGGUGCAGGAUGAUAUGGCUUCACUGGUGAUGGUGGUGACUUGUAAACGGGUGUUGGUGGUGGUGGAGACUUAUAAAUUGGUGUGGGAUGAUAUGGUGUUGGUGGAGGAUAGUAUGGCCUCUUAGGUGGUGGUGGUGACUUGUAAACUGGAGUUGGUGGUGGUGGCGACUUGUACACUGGAGUGUGUGGCGGGUAGUAUGGCUUUUUGGGUGGUGGUGGGGACUUGUAAACUGGAGUUGGGGGUGGUGGAGACUUGUAAACUGGGGUGUGUGGAGGGUAGUGUGGUGGUGACUUGUAAACUGGAGUCGGGGGUGGUGGAGACUUGUAAACUGGGGUGUGUGGAGGAUAAUGUGGCUUCUUUGGUGGUGGUGGGGACUUGUAAACUGGAGUGUGUGGAGGAUAGUGUGGCUUCUUCGGUGGUGGUGGUGACUUGUAAACAGGAGUUGGUGGUGGUGGCGACUUGUGAACUGGUGCGGGAUGAUAAGGUGUUGGUGAAGGGUGGUAUGGCUUCUUAGGUGGUGGUGGAGAUUUGUAAACAGGAUGAUGAUGGUGUGGUGGAGGGGACUUAUAUACUGGGUGGUGAUGGUUUGGUGGAGGAGACUUAUAUACUGGGUGGUGGGGUGGAGAUGGAUAGACAUGCACUGGUGGAGGAGGAGAUGAAUAAUGAUAAUUUGCAGAGCUUUCAGAAGCUAAGCUAAGUGACACUAAAACCACCAAAAGAGUGGCAACUAGAGAGGCCAUUUUCCCCAUAUU
RNAcentral lists this long non-coding RNA (26599 nucleotides) under Capsicum annuum. RNAcentral describes it as "long non-coding RNA (CANN_LNC020227)". The record is from RNAcentral. Lineage: Eukaryota; Viridiplantae; Streptophyta; Magnoliopsida; Solanales; Solanaceae.